This 192-nucleotide ribosomal RNA is filed under the name uncultured bacterium. Its description in RNAcentral is "partial 16S rRNA". It matches the Rfam family "Bacterial small subunit ribosomal RNA", at positions 826 to 1014 of the family's 1533-position model. The record is from RNAcentral.
GGAGUAUCGACCCUCUCUGUGCCGAAGCUAACGCUUUAAGUGUCCCGCCUGGGGACUACGGCCGCAAGGCUAAAACUCAAAGGAAUUGACGGGGGCCCGCACAAGCAGCGGAGCGUGUGGUUUAAUUCGAUGCAACACGAAAAACCUUACCAAGGUUUGACAUGUCGGAAGUAGUGAACCGAAAGGGGAACG